This is a non-coding RNA of Caerostris extrusa, 98 nucleotides long. Lineage: Eukaryota; Metazoa; Arthropoda; Arachnida; Araneae; Araneidae. The record is from the annotation of a GenBank genome assembly.
AACGGCCAUACCAUGUUGAAUAUACCGGUUCUCGUUAGAUCACCGAAGUCAAUUGGGCGCGGUUUGGGUGGGUGACCACCUGGGAACACCGCGUGCUA